RNAcentral lists this ribosomal RNA (468 nucleotides) under uncultured bacterium. RNAcentral describes it as "partial 16S ribosomal RNA". It matches the Rfam family "Bacterial small subunit ribosomal RNA", at positions 28 to 507 of the family's 1533-position model. The record is from RNAcentral.
GACGAACGCUGGCGGCGUGCUUAACACAUGCAAGUCGAACGGAAAGGCCCUGCUUUUGUGGGGUGCUCGAGUGGCGAACGGGUGAGUAACACGUGAGUAACCUGCCCUUGACUUUGGGAUAACUUCAGGAAACUGGGGCUAAUACCGGAUAGGAGCUCCUGCUGCAUGGUGGGGGUUGGAAAGUUUCGGCGGUUGGGGAUGGACUCGCGGCUUAUCCGCUUGUUGGUGGGGUAGUGGCUUACCAAGGCUUUGACGGGUAGCCGGCCUGGGAGGGUGGCCAGCCACAUUGGGACUGAGAUACGGCCCAGACUCCUACUGGAGGCAGCAGUGGAGAAUAUUGCACAAUGGGCGGAAGCCUGAUGCAGCAACGCCGCGUGCGUGAUGACCGCCUUCGGGUUGUAAACCGCUUUCGCCGGUGACGAAGCGUGAGUGACGGUAAUGGGUAAAGAAGCACCGGCUAACUACGUG